CCCUUAGAUGUUCUGGGCUGCACGCGCGCUACACUGAUGCGUUCAACGAGUUUUUAGUUUAUCUGAUAAGAUUGGCUAAUCUUCUGAAAACGCAUCGUGAUGGGGAUAGAUUAUUGUAAUUAUUAAUCUUCAACGAGGAAUUCCUAGUAGGUGUGAAUCAUCAGUUCACGCCGAUUACGUCCCUGCCCUUUGUACACACCGCCCGUCGCUCCUACCGAUUGAAUGGUUUAGUGAGGCCUCGGGACUGGCGCACGGGGCGCUGGCAACAGCACCCUCGCGCCGGGAACUUGGUCAAACUUGAUCAUUUAGAGGAAGUAAAAGUCGUAACA
Molecule: ribosomal RNA, 329 nt
Filed under: uncultured eukaryote
Lineage: Eukaryota
Description: partial 18S ribosomal RNA
Rfam family: Eukaryotic small subunit ribosomal RNA
Source: RNAcentral